This 754-nucleotide unclassified non-coding RNA is filed under the name Hevea brasiliensis (rubber tree). Lineage: Eukaryota; Viridiplantae; Streptophyta; Magnoliopsida; Malpighiales; Euphorbiaceae. The record is from RNAcentral.
AGGACAAAGGUUGGAAUCAAUGGUAUGUUUUCAUGUGAUUUUUUUAUUUUUUGUUGCUUUUCCUUUUUAUUCAGGGUGGUGCAAAGAACUUGCAGAAUGUUCAAAGUCUAAUAGAAGUUAUAUCUAGGUGAAUUUAGAAUAUGUACUUAACUUAUUGAUGGUAUGGCUGAAUGGCAGUGUUUACAGCUCUGUGUUUAUAACAUUAUAUUAUUCUAAAAUAGGUCUAUUGUUAUCUUAAUAUUGGGACUUUUGCAUCUAGGUACUAGUGGAUGAAAUGGAUGCCUUCCAGAUACAUGUUUAAAGAUAGAGAUUACUUUCCAUUGCAAGGACUUGAAAUGAGCUUCUUGAAAGCAUUCUUGUGUUUCAUAGUGGUUCUUAAAUUCUCUCUUAACUUAUUCUCAAGUUGCAAUAAGAAGUUGGCUAAGAAUCCUUCUGUUAAUGAAAGAGGAUGUCUGUCACAAGAGAAUUUAUUGAAAAAAAUGUUUGAGGAAAAACUAUCAUAGAAGAAUGACUGAGAUUGGUUUCUGCUAUCUGUUUCGUUUACCAGUUUUUCCACUGGCUGAUUGAGAAUAGAUGGUGGCCUUGUAUAGAAACUGUUGCUCAAGAAAUUAGCACUGAAAAUCUAAUUCAGUCUCUUAUUUUACCUCCUUUCAUUGUUGUGGCUUCUUAAAUGAGGUUUAUUUUUUGGUUCUGCACUGUAAUAGCAACAAUUUUAUGCUAUAUUGAUGCAGGCUUUGGUCGCAUUGGAAGAUUG